RNAcentral lists this unclassified non-coding RNA (622 nucleotides) under Hevea brasiliensis (rubber tree). Lineage: Eukaryota; Viridiplantae; Streptophyta; Magnoliopsida; Malpighiales; Euphorbiaceae. The record is from RNAcentral.
GAAACUUGUGUGAGGCAGUUGAAGACCACUGAUGAAAAGCCUAUUACUUUGGUGUCUGGUAAAGUUGUAGACGGUGGAAAUGAGCAAGGGCUUGAUGUGCUAGUUCCUUCUUCGCAAAUGAAACCGAGUUGCUGUGGCUGUGGCCCAAGUAGUUGCAUUGGGAUGUAUCCAGCUGGCAAUGAUGUUCUUACAGCACUUCUACUGGCUUUGCCUCCUGAAACAUGGUCUAGUAUCCAAGAGGGGAAACUUUUGCAAGAAAUGUACACUCUUGUUUCAACCCAAAAUCUUCCGAUUUUGCUUCAAGAAGAGGUGUUGCAUCUAAGGCGUCAACUCUGCCUUCUUAAGAGAUGCCAAGAGAAUAAGGUAGAUGAGGAUCUUGGUGCACCUCUUUCCUAGUACUUGAAUAAUUUCUUUAUAAAAUCAUUAUUUUUGUAAGCCAAGAGUGCUUUAUUAUGGAUAUGAGAAUUGUAAACGCAAAUGCACCUCUGGGACUUGUUUAUUAAUGAAGUUGGGAGGGACCAAAUUCACACGGUAAAGAAAAGUGGUCUUCAAGAAUGUAGCACUUACAGAAAAGAGGGUCAUCUUCAGGAGACCCCUUAUAUGGAAUCAUUGAUUGCUGGGC